GGAUCGAUGAUGAGAAACCCUGUCUGAGGAUGCUGAGAGACUCAUGUCAAUGGGAAUCUGAGGUCC
This is a small nucleolar RNA of Microtus ochrogaster (prairie vole), 66 nucleotides long. NCBI's taxonomy places the organism in Eukaryota, Metazoa, Chordata, Mammalia, Rodentia, Cricetidae. The record is from Ensembl.